AGGCAUUGUUUUGAUGCAUAAUUGAUACUGAAAACAAAUUUCUUUUUUCCUUUAUUGGUUCAGCAGAUUCUGGGUGUUAGUGGGUUUUUUUCUUAUUGAUAAACCAAAUAACAAGCUCUAAAGAAUUUUUUAGAAAUUCUCUCUCAUCUAUUUAAGUUUUGCCUGCUGCCAUCCUGGCUCAAAAGUCUUUUUAGAUUUAUUCAGACGUUUUUAUGAAGUAGCUGUUUGAUGGGUCUGUUAAAAAUUCUGGGUCUAAUGCCUGCUUCAUCUUGUUGCUACUGCAGCUUCACUACUUGAGUCCUCGAUU
RNAcentral lists this unclassified non-coding RNA (307 nucleotides) under Hevea brasiliensis (rubber tree). Lineage: Eukaryota; Viridiplantae; Streptophyta; Magnoliopsida; Malpighiales; Euphorbiaceae. The record is from RNAcentral.